GUGAUGGGCAAGUCCAAUCCUAGACUUUCUGUGGUCAGUCCCAUAUUCCCAACAGAAGAGGUUGGAGAGAGAGGGUCCCCAGUCCAAGAGGGCAGGAGAAGCAAUGAGCUUGCAGGAGAAUGUCACCGUGGCCAUGGCAGUGAUCACCAUCUUUGCCUCCAUUUACUUCUUCCACAAGGCCCAGAAAUGAGAAGACCUUGGGACCCUUAGACAUGAAGACCACACUUCUGCCUUGAAUAACCACUCUGGCCUCUUGGACUAAAUAAAUGUGACGGGCCUAUCCCGCCUGCUUCCUGCACUCCUUUCCUUAUAGACUUAUCCCCCCCCCCCCCCCCAAGCUUCCCCUGAGAAGUGUGUGUACCUGUGUGUAUGUGUAUAUGGGGGGUGAGUUGGUGGGGAUUUGAGGGAAAGUAUCCCAAGGGGAUCUGGAGAUAAGGUCCCUUAGCCCGGAUCCUUGGGGGUGGAGGUGGGGUGGUGCAUUCAGAAAGGGUAAGAACUUGGAUCCAGGUAGCAGACACCCAGGUGUCAAAAAGUCAUGGUUAAUGCUAUAUUUAAUUUUCUUGAACUAUUGCUGUCCCCCUGUGGCCAUUCAGGGUAUGUAGCCAAUAUCUCCUUGGUCAUUGGGAGGAGGGAGAAAAAGGGAAACACACACACACACACACACACACACACACACACACACAUACAAAGGGAGGCAAAGAGCAGAUGAAAUACAGAGUGGAGAGGGGCUACGACCCCCCUUCCCCCAAUGGUGAA
Molecule: long non-coding RNA, 756 nt
Filed under: Sarcophilus harrisii (Tasmanian devil)
Lineage: Eukaryota; Metazoa; Chordata; Mammalia; Dasyuromorphia; Dasyuridae
Description: lncRNA (ENSSHAG00000027868.1)
Source: RNAcentral